Molecule: ribosomal RNA, 253 nt
Filed under: uncultured bacterium
Lineage: Bacteria
Description: partial 16S ribosomal RNA
Rfam family: Bacterial small subunit ribosomal RNA
Source: RNAcentral
UACAGAGGUCUCAAGCGUUGUUCGGAUUCAUUGGGCGUAAAGGGUGCGUAGGCGGCCCGGUAAGUCGGGUGUGAAAUUUCGGAGCUUAACUCCGAAACUGCAUUCGAUACUGCGGUGCUUGAGGACUGGAGAGGAGACUGGAAUUCAUGGUGUAGCAGUGAAAUGCGUAGAGAUCAUGAGGAAGACCAGUGGCGAAGGCGGGUCUCUGGACAGUUCCUGACACUGAGACACGAAGGCCAGGGGAGCAAACGGG